Molecule: ribosomal RNA, 1443 nt
Filed under: metagenome
Description: bacterial SSU rRNA
Rfam family: Bacterial small subunit ribosomal RNA
Source: RNAcentral
AGAGUUUGAUCCUGGCUCAGGAUGAACGCUGGCGGCGUGCUUAACACAUGCAAGUCGAACGAACCUUCGGGUUAGUGGCGGACGGGUGAGUAACGCGUGAGAAUCUGCCCUCAGGAGGGGGAUAACGGCUGGAAACGGCCGCUAAUACCCCAUAUGCCGAGAGGUGAAAUGAAUUUCGCCUGAGGAUGAGCUCGCGUCUGAUUAGCUAGUUGGUGGGGUAAGGGCCUACCAAGGCAUCGAUCAGUAGCUGGUCUGAGAGGAUGAUCAGCCACACUGGGACUGAGACACGGCCCAGACUCCUACGGGAGGCAGCAGUGGGGAAUUUUCCGCAAUGGGCGAAAGCCUGACGGAGCAACGCCGCGUGAGGGAUGAAGGCCUCUGGGCUGUAAACCUCUUUUAUCAAGGAAGAAGAUCUGACGGUACUUGAUGAAUAAGCCACGGCUAAUUCCGUGCCAGCAGCCGCGGUAAUACGGGAGUGGCAAGCGUUAUCCGGAAUUAUUGGGCGUAAAGCGUCCGCAGGCGGCCUGACAAGUCUGUUGUCAAAGCGUGGAGCUUAACUCCAUUUCGGCAAUGGAAACUGUGAGGCUUGAGUGUGGUAGGGGCAGAGGGAAUUCCCGGUGUAGCGGUGAAAUGCGUAGAUAUCGGGAAGAACACCAGUGGCGAAGGCGCUCUGCUGGGCCAUAACUGACGCUCAUGGACGAAAGCCAGGGGAGCGAAAGGGAUUAGAUACCCCUGUAGUCCUGGCCGUAAACGAUGAACACUAGGUGUCGGGGGAAUCGACCCCCUCGGUGUCGUAGCCAACGCGUUAAGUGUUCCGCCUGGGGAGUACGCACGCAAGUGUGAAACUCAAAGGAAUUGACGGGGGCCCGCACAAGCGGUGGAGUAUGUGGUUUAAUUCGAUGCAACGCGAAGAACCUUACCAGGGUUUGACAUCCUGCGAAUCCCUUGGAAACUAGGGAGUGCCUUCGGGAGCGCAGAGACAGGUGGUGCAUGGCUGUCGUCAGCUCGUGUCGUGAGAUGUUGGGUUAAGUCCCGCAACGAGCGCAACCCACGUCUUUAGUUGCCAGCAUUGAGUUGGGCACUCUAGAGAGACCGCCGGUGAUAAACCGGAGGAAGGUGUGGAUGACGUCAAGUCAUCAUGCCCCUUACAUCCUGGGCUACACACGUACUACAAUGCUACGGACAAAGGGCAGCAAACUCGCGAGAGCUAGCAAAUCCCAUAAACCGUGGCUCAGUUCAGAUCGCAGGCUGCAACUCGCCUACGUGAAGGAGGAAUCGCUAGUAAUCGCAGGUCAGCAUACUGCGGUGAAUACGUUCCCGGGCCUUGUACACACCGCCCGUCACACCAUGGAAGUUGGCCACGCCCGAAGCCGUUACUCCAACCCUUGUGGAGGAGGACGUCGAAGGUGGGGCUGAUGACUGGGGUGAAGUCGGAACAAGGUA